This 329-nucleotide unclassified non-coding RNA is filed under the name plant metagenome. RNAcentral's name for it is "partial contains 5.8S ribosomal RNA, internal transcribed spacer 2, and large subunit ribosomal RNA". The stretch from base 1 to 105 matches the Rfam family "5.8S ribosomal RNA", at positions 50 to 154 of the family's 154-position model. The record is from RNAcentral.
GAAAUGCGAUAAGUAAUGUGAAUUGCAGAAUUCCGUGAAUCAUCGAAUCUUUGAACGCACAUUGCGCCCUCUGGUAUUCCGGGGGGCAUGCCUGUCCGAGCGUCAUUGCGAACCCCUCAAGCACGGCUUGUGUGAUGGGCCCUCCCGCGUCUUGGUCGUCAAGACGGGCCCGAAAAGCAGUGGCGGCUUCGCGGUUAUCCGAUCAGCCAGAGCGUAUGGGGACUUUCUCUCUGUCACACGCCCGCGGCGCGGACCGACGCCUGUCGACCUUUAUUCAUCUUUUUCUCGGUUGACCUCGGAUCAGGUAGGAAGACCCGCUGAACUUAAGC